AUUGAACGCUGGCGGCAUGCCUUACACAUGCAAGUCGAACGGCAGCACGGGGCAACCUGGUGGCGAGUGGCGAACGGGUGAGUAAUGCAUCGGAACGUACCUUUCAGUGGGGGAUAACGUAGCGAAAGUUACGCUAAUACCGCAUAUUCUGUGAGCAGGAAAGCAGGGGAUCGCAAGACCUUGCGCUGAUUGAGCGGCCGAUGUCAGAUUAGCUAGUUGGUGAGGUAAAGGCUCACCAAGGCGACGAUCUGUAGCGGGUCUGAGAGGAUGAUCCGGCCAACUGGAACUGGGACACGGUCCAGACUCCUACGGGAGGCAGCAGUGGGGAAUUUUGGACAAUGGGGGCAACCCUGAUCCAGCCAUGCCGCGUGAGUGAAGAAGGCCUUCGGGUUGUAAAGCUCUUUCGGCCGGGAAGAAAUCGCACGGGCUAAUACCCUGUGUGGAUGACGGUACCGGAAUAAGAAGCACCGGCUAACUACGUGCCAGCCGCCGCCGUAA
This 498-nucleotide ribosomal RNA is filed under the name uncultured bacterium. RNAcentral describes it as "partial 16S ribosomal RNA". It matches the Rfam family "Bacterial small subunit ribosomal RNA", at positions 30 to 523 of the family's 1533-position model. The record is from RNAcentral.